Pyrus x bretschneideri (Chinese white pear) is the source of this 3003-nucleotide RNA transcript. It is a transcript of the gene named double-strand break repair protein MRE11-like, with no coding region annotated. Lineage: Eukaryota; Viridiplantae; Streptophyta; Magnoliopsida; Rosales; Rosaceae. The transcript has 24 exons. The record is from RefSeq and is a predicted model, not a curated record.
GAAAACAGUGCCACCUUUCUUCUCCGUUUCCGCUGUCAUCGCCCUUUCAAAAUUCCCCGCCACCGUUCCUUUUCCCGGCUGCCAAGCUUCGCCGAAUCAGCUUCUACAUUCGCACUCACAGUAGUCUUCGCAACACUAUAACGCAGGCUUAAAGAGUAUCGACUAUCAGUAUGGGUGACUUGUCAAGGGAGGAUCUUAGUGAUACGCUUCGAAUACUUUUUGCUACGGAUUGCCAUCUGGGUUAUAUGGAGAAGGAUGAAAUACGGCGGCAUGAUUCAUUCCAGGCAUUUGAUGAGAUAUGCUCAAUAGCGGAACAAAAAAAUGUGGAUUUUUUGCUUCUUGGCGGUGAUCUGUUCCAUGAGAAUAAGCCUUCAAGGUCAACACUAGUUAAGGCCAUUGAGAUUCUCCGUCGUCAUUGCCUCAAUGAUCAGCCAGUGCAGUUCCAAGUUGUUAGCGACCAGACUCUGAAUUUUCCAAAUACAUUUGGUCAUGUAAAUUAUGAAGAUCCUCACUUCAAUGUUGGAUUGCCAGUAUUUAGUAUUCAUGGAAAUCACGACGACCCUGCUGGAGUGGAUAAUCUUUCUGCUGUCGAUAUUCUCUCAGCGUGCAACCUUGUAAACUAUUUUGGGAAAAUGGGUCUUGGGGGUUCUGGUGUUGGUCAGAUCACCGUGUAUCCUAUUCUCAUGAGGAAGGGUGCAACAUCAGUGGCCCUCUAUGGUCUCGGAAAUAUUAGAGAUGAACGGCUCAAUAGAAUGUUUCAGACACCACAUGCUGUACAAUGGAUGAGACCUGAAUCUCAAGAAGGGUUGGAAGUGUCAGACUGGUUCAACAUUCUAGUGCUUCAUCAGAACAGAGUGAAGACAAACCCAAAAAAUGCCAUAAAUGAGCACUUUUUACCACGCUUCCUAGACUUCGUAGUGUGGGGGCAUGAACAUGAAUGCCUCGUGGAUCCUCAGGAAGUUCCAGGGAUGGGAUUUCACAUUACACAACCUGGUUCUUCAGUUGCAACAUCACUGAUCGAUGGAGAAUCAAAGCCAAAGCAUGUGCUCCUUUUAGAAAUUAAGGGGAAUCAAUACCGUCCAACCAAGAUUCCUUUGACGUCAGUGAGGCCAUUUGAGUACACAGAGAUUGUAUUAAAAGAUGAACCUGAAAUUGAUCCUAAUGAUCCAAACUCAAUUCUUGAACACUUGGACAAAGUGGUCAACUCUCUUAUAGAGAAAUCUAGGAAAAAUGUUGUUAGCGGAUCACAGCUCCAACUUCCAUUGGUCCGAAUAAAGGUGGACUAUUCUGGAUUUAUGACAAUAAAUCCUCAAAGAUUUGGGCAGAAGUAUGUGGGGAAGGUUGCAAACCCACAAGACAUUCUUAUAUUUACGAAGGCUUCAACAAAGGGCCGGAGUGAAGCUAAAAUUGAUGAUUCUGAACGGCUUCGCCCAGAAGAACUAAAUCAGCAAAACAUAGAGGCCUUGGUUGCUGAAAAUAAUCUGGUAUCAGCCGUCAUAUUCGUUUCCUGUACUCAGUAUAUCAUGCCAUCUUGUACUUCUCAUCCAGUGGAACACUUGAUUUGUUUAUUUACAGAAUAUAGUUUUAAAAUGGAGAUCCUUCCUGUCAAUGAUUUGGACAUUGCAUUACACAAUUUUGUUAGUAAGGAUGACAAAAUGGCUUUUUAUUCUUGCGUGAAAUACAAUCUUGAAGAAACUCGAAAGAAAAUUGCUAAGGAUCCAGAUACUGUAACAUUUGAAGAGGAAGAUUUAAUCGUUAAAGUCGGAGAGUGUUUGCAGGAACGUGUCAAGGAAAGGCCUACGCAGUCUAAGAAUAACUCUCCAUUCUCCUCCACUGCCCCUCCUUGGGAGGAUUUCAGAGGUACAAGUGCUGCUGGAACUGCAAGUGCAGUUUCCUUCAGUGAUGAUGAAGAUGCAAUGCAGAUGACUGGCUCAACAUCCACUGCCAGAGGCCGCAACAGCAGGACGUCCACCUCAGAAGUUGGUAAGGGUAAAACUACAACAAGAGGAAGGGGCGGGGGCAGGGGCAGGGGCAGGGGCAGGGGCACCAGUACCUUGAAGCAGACGACUCUCGAUGCAUCUCUUGGAUUUCGGCAUUCUCAGAGAUCUGCAUCAGUUGCUGCAACUGCCGCUGUUCAAAGUAUUGCAGAUGAUGGAGAUGAUGUGGAUUCUCUGAGUGAAGAGUCGGGGAAACUUGGAAUUGAUGAGGUUGACAACAGUUCGGAAAAUGAUGAAAUUCUUCCACCAAGUAAAGGACGGAAAAGGGCUGCUCCAAGGGGGAGAGGAAGAGGCUCUACACAACCAUCUAAACGUGGAAAGAAGUCAGAUAGCUCUGCAGUUAACCGAAUGUUUAUGAACAAAGAUGAUGAUGACGACGAUGAUGAAGAUGUGACAAAGAGAUUAAAUAAGCAUCUGCCUCGGGUCACGAGAAAUUAUGGCUCUCUUAGAAGGUAACAAUCAGUAAAGUUCACCCAUGCUUCGACGAGGUAAUCCAACCUUAUGCCGGUUUCCACUUUAUGUAUCUCCACUUCGGGGCUAAAGACAAUCCAUCCGCAGAGGCUUAGGAUUUAAGUCUACAUUCAAGCUGUUUGAAUGUUCCUUCCGAAGGUUGCAAAAUGUAAUUUGAUCGUUAUAUGAGUGGAUGCCCGCAUCAGUUGAUUUUGUUCCAAAUCGAGUUUGUGUUUUUUCCAGUUAAAGAUUGUGAGCAUCGUGACGGCCAUGCUUUCCGGCCACCAAACACAGCAGCCAGAGUAUCAACAGGCAGGUUGGCUGGUGCUUUCGGUCGCAACAUCCAUCUGAUUUGUUUUAGCUUGGAAGCAACCCUGCUGGCUGGGAUGGCUUGUAAUCUAUAUGGUGCUUAUAGUUUUGGAAGUCAAGAAAACAUGGACUUGUAUUACACAUUCGAAGCAAGCGAUUUGCACGUUUAACAUUUCAUCAAAGCAAACGAUUUACGCUUUCGAAGCAAGCAAUCUAUAUUGUGCUUAUAUAAAUGACAGAUUCACAC